RNAcentral lists this non-coding RNA (28 nucleotides) under Drosophila melanogaster (fruit fly). Lineage: Eukaryota; Metazoa; Arthropoda; Insecta; Diptera; Drosophilidae. The record is from RNAcentral.
ACCCUUGACACUUUAUGGAUUGUGAAAC